This 250-nucleotide ribosomal RNA is filed under the name uncultured bacterium. RNAcentral describes it as "partial 16S ribosomal RNA". It matches the Rfam family "Bacterial small subunit ribosomal RNA", at positions 109 to 354 of the family's 1533-position model. The record is from RNAcentral.
AGUAACACGUGGAUAACCUGCCUCAAGGCUGGGGAUAACAUUUGGAAACAGAUGCUAAUACCGAAUAAAACUUAGUAUCGCAUGAUAUCAAGUUAAAAGGCGCUACGGCGUCACCUAGAGAUGGAUCCGCGGUGCAUUAGUUAGUUGGUGGGGUAAAGGCUUACCAAGACGAGGAUGCAUAGCCGAGUUGAGAGACUGAUCGGCCACAUUGGGACUGAGACACGGCCCAAACUCCUACGGAAGGCAGCAG